Molecule: non-coding RNA, 84 nt
Organism: Felis catus (domestic cat)
Lineage: Eukaryota; Metazoa; Chordata; Mammalia; Carnivora; Felidae
Source: Rfam
GCCUAGGUGGCUUAGUCAGUUAAGCACUGACUUCGGCUCAGGUAAUGAUCUUGCAGUUUGUGGGUUCGAGUCCCACAUCAGGCU